GGGAGUACCCACGAGGAAACUUAGGCUAAUACCGGACGUAACAACAGAGAAGGCAUCUUCUUUGCUUGAAAGGCCCCUUCAAGGGUCACUUAAGGAUGGACCUGCGGCGCAUUAGCUAGUUGGUGAGAUAACAGCCCACCAAGGCGAGGAUGCGUAGCCGAACUGAGAGGUUGAUCGGCCACAUUGGAACUGAGACACGGUCCAAACUCCUACGGGAGGCAGCAGUAAGGAGUUUUCGGCAAUGGGGGAAACCCUGACCGAGCAACGCCGCGUGAGCGAUGAAGGUCCUUUGGAUUGUAAAAAGCUCUGUUGUAAGCCAUGAAUGAUAGCUUGAGGAAAUGCAAGCUAUUUGACGACAGCUUACCAGAAAGCCACGGCUAACUACGUGCCAGCAGCCGC
This 399-nucleotide ribosomal RNA is filed under the name uncultured bacterium. RNAcentral's name for it is "bacterial SSU rRNA". It matches the Rfam family "Bacterial small subunit ribosomal RNA", at positions 140 to 518 of the family's 1533-position model. The record is from RNAcentral.